UCCGGUUUAACACCGGCUUGCAGUGGCAUGUCAAACCUGGGUAAGGUUCUGCGCGUUGCGUCGAAUUAAACCACACGCUCCGCUGCUUGUGCGGGCCCCCGUCAAUUCCUUUGAGUUUUAAGCUUGCGCUCGUAGUUCCCAGGCGGGCCACUUCCCGCGUUUGCUAAGGCCCCCAAGGACGGAGAUUCCGCCCCCAAAGGCCGAGUGGCCAUCGUUUACGGCGUGGACUAC
This 231-nucleotide unclassified non-coding RNA is filed under the name uncultured Roseiflexaceae bacterium. RNAcentral describes it as "contains 16S-23S intergenic spacer region". Lineage: Bacteria; Bacillati; Chloroflexota; Chloroflexia; Chloroflexales; Roseiflexaceae. The record is from RNAcentral.